CCUCGGCCUCCCAAAGUGCUGGGAUUACAGGCAUGAGCCACCACACCCGGCCUCUGUGCUGUUAAUGUCCUCUUAACUUCUUUGCCCUCAGUCUGAUUGUCUAACAAGUGCAGAUAUCCACUCUGAACAUUUCAUCUCGACAGCUGACAUCAAUACUGGCCAUCCUGAGAUUUAUCUUUUCAUAUGAGAAAAUAUUAUACAUUGGAGACCAGAGCUUAGAAUGGACAAAAUUGUCUUCUAGAAGUGCCAUUAUCACAGAUAGGCAGCUGGGGCAGCCUCAGGCUGGUUCUAGCCAAGCUGGAAGAAGGUAAGAGUUAAUGGUGUAAGAAAAUAGCAAGAGGGCCCGUUGGGCAGGGAAAGUUCUGCGUGGAGCACAGUACUCAGCACCCGCGACCUCAGUGGAAGCAAUUUCAUUAUCCUUUGCUUUCGAGGCCCUCUCCCUCUCUGAGGAGGCUCUCUGCAUCUUGACCUUUGGUGACCUCAGAAUUUUCUGGCAGCCGCUGGAACCAGGGAUCAUCUUUUCAGAAAUCUGUUUGGCAUCGUUCCGUGACUUAUCUUUCAGCCCUCAUCACCAUUAUUCAUGCUUUGGCAGUAUCCUAGCUACAGACACAGUACUCUUCUUGAGCUGACACUGAAGGUUACUCCAUCCCAGCCGAUGGAGAAGGAAGGCGCCCACUCCUCAGGACCCUGACUCCAGGAAGCAUGCUCCCUGUGAGGGCAGGUGCUUAAAGGCAUCUAUUCAGAAGCUGAUCUCAACCUCCAGCCCUUGUGAACAGGCAAAUAGGUGAAGAUAACACAAAACAGGAACUGGUCCCCAAAUCAUAGGCAAUUUGGCUUUGGAAUGCAUUCCAAGGCACAUUUGCUGUACACUUGUAUGCACAUUCAUCCAAACUCAAAUGCUAAACUCCACCAGCUGCCUCUGGACUACAUAAAAACCCCAAACCUUUAUCUCUUCAUUAACGAUGGCAAAGAUUUUCCGGCUUUACCUUUCUUCCCCACUUUAACAUCCUGCUUCUAUUCUGUGGCCUGCGCUUCCUGCUUUGUAUAUUUUAGAUUACUUUAGACAUAACCUCACAUCCUGGCCAAUUGCACAGUAGCUGCUAAUUGCUAGAGCUUUGCUAAUGGCCUGUACAUCGAUGAAGAAUGAGUUACAAGCAGCAAAAUCCAGAAGACAAUAAGCUAGUGUGGUUUAGAGCUGGGGCUCUGGAGGGAGACAGACUUGGGUUUCAAGCUUAGACUGUGUGGCCUGGGGCAACUAACUUAACCUCUCUGAAUCUCUGUUAUCUCGUCUAAAUGGAUAUUAUAAUAGCUCCUACCUCACAGGGUUGUUGCUAAAAUAAAUACUGGAUAAUGCCUAUAAACGACUUAGCACAAUGCAAGCUAUUGUUAUUACCAUGUAGGCUUUCAAAUUAUGAAGAGCUUUCUUCCUCUAGAGUCUACAUAUUCCUGAGAUCCUGCCGAGCUAUUCUGCUCCAUCUCUACCCUGCACCUGCCCAGCCCCAUUCCCCUGACCAACCACUUCCUCCAGGUAGCAUUCCUUGAUUGAGCAAAAUGCACACAAUUAUGCAUUUGCAUUUUCUCUCUAUUGUUUUAUGUUUUUCAAGGGUUUCAUAUGGGUAUUUACAUUUUCCCCAAUUCACACACCAAGCUUCUCCAAGAUCAACAAGCCUUACCUUCAGUAGUAUCUCAGGUAGUACAAACCCAAGAGCAACAUCCCUAGUAAACAGCCAGAUCUUCAGAACCAAAUGUGGAGACUACCUUUUAAGUCGGCCUUUUGCGUCCUUUGCAAAAUGGCUCUCUUGUUUAUCAAAGUCUCUUUUGUACAGUAAGCGUAUCAGAAGUUCAUCUGAAGGAAGUAUACAGAGGCAGGAAGCACUGACAUUUCCCCCCACCAUGAGGUCCCCAAAUCCAUUCCUUCCCCAUCUGCCAAGACAUUCAUCCACGCUCUAGUUAUUUUCUACAUCACAGUAUUUUCUAAAAUUACUCUUUCUGGAGCCCUUCCUCACCCCUUCACUAUCUCACUUGAGUCUAUCCAUGGCAUCAUUUUUCCCCCUGUUCUCUUAAUCCCUCUUGGUGCACACAGAACUUUCACAUGAGCGAUAUUUGCUCCAUCAUCAUCCGUCUCUAUUCGCAGAGCCCACUUAGGCCCUCAGGCUUUGCUCUCCGGACUCUGACUUCCUGAACUGUGGUGAAGUAGUCCCCCUCCUUGCCAGGUCUUGAGAUGUCCAUGUGGAACUUUCCGGCCCGGCCCAUUUGUACAUGAAUGUUUCACGCAACACUCUACAACAUCACUUCUGCUUCUAUGGGUAGCCGGCAGGGCCCUGUGUACAGGCAUCAUCUGUUUAAACUGAAAUCUUGUCAUUUGUCAUGGCAGUUUUAUUUAUGAUCCUGUGUGCUGUAACCUUGUGGCAUAAAUAUUAAAUAAUAAUAUCUCUUGGGUUAAAAAAAAAUCAUUCAUGUUAACUGACAACUUCUUAUGAAAAUAUGAAGUAAGCCCAACCACACAAUUUGGUAUUGGCUCAUUUUGAAAUAUGAGUAAAAGCACGGAUUGCUCAACAGGUAGAUGCACAGGCAGAAUUAUAAUUUCCAUUUUUACACCUUCUUGCUUCAAGAAAUGAAACAUUCAAGAAGUAAAAAACGUUAAAAGAAACGGGCUGGGUGGCAAAUUUCUUCAGAAUCAAAUUCUAAUUCCUGCCAGUAUCUCCUAAGUAGUUUUUAGCUUCCAAAAAGGAAGACGCCAAAUAAUGACAAUGCCACAUAAGUGAAAUGAAUUCCGGACAAUGACACUGCUCAUUUUUUUUUUUUUUUUUUUUUUUUGGCAUUCUGUGAAUUUCCUAUUACAUCAGUUUCAUGAUUCAGCAUUUUCCAUUUCAUUUAUUUACAGUAAUAUAUGGCGAGAUAACCCAAGGUUUCUGCAGGAUUUUGGAACAUAAGGUACGCUGGGCAGGAAGGGUGUCGCCUUCUGUAAAUUUACUAUUGUUUAGGAGAACUCAAAACAGAAGCAAGUAAGCCAUCAAAGGAACUGAGAAAAUUUCUCCCCACCUUGUUCUGAGGGCUCUCAACUACUCUGGUAUUUAAAAUAAAUUGGUUUUGAAAAAUAGGUUACUGCCCUUUAGUUGAUGACUAAAACAAAAGCCAAGAAGUGUGCAAAUUGCAAACUGACAUGCAUGAGCCAAACAUAUUCUCUGAAAUGACAAUGUUCAAGACGCAGCUAAAGUCACCACUCUGGCGGUAAGCGUGUUACAGAGAACUAGAUUUCUUUCCGGCAUCCGCAACUUGGCUGGAGUGACCAAGGAGGAGUUGAAGAGCGCUGGAGAUGCGAGGUACCACCAGAGGCCCCAGGAUUCCAGAGGUAAGCAGAAUGGCUCUAUUUCUGCCAGGAGCAUCGGGCAUGCGGAAAACCUGCCAGAGUUUGGUCUUCUAAGAGAACAUCCCAUCAGAUACCAUCCUCAUCUCCUGAUCCUCAGAUCUCAUCCUUUGAGCCUCAAAUCCCUGACUCUGCAGACUCUCUUCCUAUGGGCCACAGAGCCCUUGCCUUGGGAAGUUGUGGUAAAGGAGGAAAAGGAAGCAUUUGUGUAAACUGAAAGCUUUUCCGUGUAUUUUUAUGGGAUGCUGAAGGUCUUGGAAUCACUCGGUCUGUAGCCCUGGCAUGCUCCAAAAUGAGCUCUAUUUCUGGGCCUGUCAGAUGAAAUGCUGUUGCUCCUAGUUAUUUUUGGCUCUUUGCCCUUCUGAAUAGGUGCAUAUUCAGCUCAAUUCUUCCCCCCACCCUGAGCUGGGGGAAAAAGCAGGCAGCUUCCCUUAGCCAAGCCCUCCCCUGUGUCAGGAGCACUUUCGCCCUUAAGCAGCAGCUACUGACAUAAGCUCUCUGGACAGCCCAUGACUUACUUGUGCAGUGUCCAGGUGGGCAGCAGAGAAAUCCAUUCUCUGGCCCUCUUGGGCCAUUAAGGGAAAGCUUUGUGAGCUGAACAUUUCCAGGCAGGUGCAACCAGAUGUCCAGGGCCUCCUUAUUCAUACCAGGUCUGCAUCCUGCCCCACCACCAUAGUUGCAGAAACUUCUGCCAUCCUUGGGGGUAUUGGGAUAAGAAGCAGGGAUUUCAGGCUCAGUGAGCACAGAAGUCCCUGUGUACUGGGUGUUUGGGGAAGGAAAGUGCACAGGAUGUAGAAGAUCAAGGGCAUGUGUCCAUAGAUGUAAGGACAUCUUUGGGACCAGGUGCAAUGGCUCACGCCUGUAAUCCCUACACCUUGGGAGGCUGAGGCAGGUGGA
This is a long non-coding RNA of Cercocebus atys (sooty mangabey), 4264 nucleotides long. RefSeq lists it as uncharacterized. The record is from RefSeq and is a predicted model, not a curated record. Lineage: Eukaryota; Metazoa; Chordata; Mammalia; Primates; Cercopithecidae. The transcript has 3 exons.